Microtus ochrogaster (prairie vole) is the source of this 105-nucleotide small nucleolar RNA. RefSeq annotates it as small nucleolar RNA U13. The transcript has a single exon. The record is from RefSeq and is a predicted model, not a curated record. Lineage: Eukaryota; Metazoa; Chordata; Mammalia; Rodentia; Cricetidae.
AUGUUUCUUGUGAUUCGAAAAUCUGAUGGCUGAGUUUUCAUGUCACUGUGAGGGAUAGGCUUCUCUCAAACUGUGUUACCACAGCACGACAUUACUUGUCUGACA